GGGCCAUAGGGCAGGGUGCUAUGACGAGUGUUGCUGCAGAAGAGGAAAUCAAGAGUAAAGGGGAAGAGGCAGUGAUAUGAGAAAGCUGGACAAUUAGACAUGAUGAGAUUGACUCUGAUUUCCCUCACCGUGUGCCUUCCUCACCUCCUCGCCACUCUUGUCUUCCAUUCUACCACUGCGGCUUCACCAAGCGCCACAGAAACAACAACAACAGCUCUAGACCUUAGUAUCAGCACUACAACAUCAGACCCCCGUAUACUUCCACUCUCCACAACUGAAAACCACCCUGGUAGGACUAGUGGCACGUUCAACACACAAGUGAAGAAAAGCGCUAGUUUAGCAGCUGUCAACAAAUCAGGCAGAACGACUCAAGGAAGAGGCAUUCUCAGAACAGGAACUGCCACUUACGCCACCACAGCCGUACAGAAGAACAACAGGCACACAACUGCAGGAGACUUGAGGAGGGAAACAGAGAGCCACAAUCACCAUGAGACUCUUCCCUUCAGCAGACACAAAGUCUCACCCACAACUGACCACCCCAGCACCACCUCUCUCCCCGGGGAGGAAGGGACUGAGUAUCAUGACAGCAGCACCACUGAAACAGCCAGAGAACGGAGCACACCAAAUUCCAUAGAGACAUGGGCUGCUGACACCAUUAAUGACUCCAGGCUAGCAAAGCCACACUUAGACAGGUCACAAGCAGCAGACCAGCACACUGCUACACAAGGACUAGAGAUUGCAUCAGGAGAUUACUACACAACACAGAGAGACUUCUUCACAAACACCCCAAGUAGUAGAGUGACAGCUUUGAACAGGGGUAAACAAAGUAAGGCCAACAGCUUCACAACAACAACAACGUUUUCACCUACGUACACAGUCACACAUCCUGGUUUGUAUGAGCACAUGACUGUGACUUACAGGGCUAGCGGCUACAAAACACAACCUGACGACACAAGCCAGUCUAUGGACAACCAGGACCACACCACAGCCACAGUUUCGAUCCCCCAUGCUGACAAUAGGACAACUCCAGAUAUCAAUGCAAACACGUUUACAGAUAAUGACACAGACAACUACACAGACACACUUUCAUACAGUAAUACCACAACCUCUAAUAAUCGUAACACCACAGUACUUUUGAAGAAGAAAACUCAUUCAUUCAGACACAACCACACAAUCUCAGGUUAUAACAAGAGGCUGAACAACACAACUGAAAACACUGUGCAUGAUCGCCCUGAGUGCGGAGAGGCAGACGAAAGGUCCCUAUCGUUGCUUCCUGGCUCUACUAGACUGGUCUGUUUCAUUGUUCUGUGUGCUCUGGGAUUGACUGCUUCUGUCUUCCUUGGGCUCACUGUCUUCCUGUGGGUGCGUUUGUCAGUCCAGAGAGAGAGGGAAAAGAGAGUGAGGAGAGGAGGAGAGGAGGUGUCAGGGGUGGAUCUGGAGAACCUGUGGGUUGACCAGAUGUCAUCGGUGGAGGAAAGGGUCGAAUUCUGGUACACCAACGGCUCCACCAUGGGACCCGACCAUAAACGGAGGGAGAGAGGGAGAGAGAGGGGGAAGGAGAGGGGGAGGAGGGAGCAGGGGAGGCAGAAAGGGGUAGAGUGUGACAACCUGUGGACUCAACCCAAAGUGACACUGGAGGACAUCACUGAUUUCUGGUAUGCAAAUGGAAGAGCGAUACCAGAAGAAACUACAGACCAAACGUUGUUGGAGACCUGCGUAUGAUUCUGUUUUUUUGUACUACAGUCCUACAAUUUCCCUGGAAUUACUUUGGAGAGAAAUGUUCAUCGUUAUUUGACCAAUUCCAUGUCAGAUUUGAACACUGUAAUACUGACCGAGUUUAAACAUUUCCAAAAUGAAUUGGUAAUCAGUAUGUUUAUUGGCUGUAACAAAAGUAUAAGUAUAUGUUCUACAUAAGUCUACUGAAAGAUGGAUUAAGCCUGGGUCUGAACAGAGAGAAAGAAGAGGACAGAGAGAGAGAGAGAAGGAGAGAGAGGAAUAGAGAGAGAGUUUAGAACAACAUGUCUAACUGGAAAUAAGACUUGAUAAGAGAGUUUCCAUUUCAAGACAAUUCAGACCCUGUUAGAGACACAUCAUCAUCGUGUGUCAGACAGCAACGAGGAUAUAGGUGCCAUUUCUACAAACACACGGACACAAAUACGGUUGACUCCUAAUACUGUACAUGCACUGUUAUUAGGAGCUAGUCAAAUAAUUGUAAUUAUUUUUUAUUUGACCUUUAUUUAACCAGGUAGGCUAGUUGAGAACAAGUUCUCAUUUACAACUGCGACCCGGCCAAGAUAAAGCAUAGCAGUGUGAACAGACAACAACACAGCCAGAGAACAUGGAGUAAACAAUAAACAAUAAAACACAAUAUGCCGUCUACGAUCAGCAUAUCCCAGGCAUUUUAACUGGGUUUCUCAUAACCGGGACACAAGCUUAUUUGGGUUAUUGUAAAUGGGAUAUGAUGCUAAUACGCGUCAACUAAAAAACGGAAUACUAGAAUAUCCCAAAUAGUGAUGGAAUAUUGGUGUGCCUGUGAACAUGGUAACUUAUCAGGAAUCGACUAUAGGUCUACCUCACAAUUGAUAGUGGAUCCGGCCAUUUGAUCAAUAAUGUAUAACUGUAAUGUUUAAUACAGUAGAAAAUACACCCUUGUAGAAUUUAACACCUAACCAGCUGAAGUUUGACAUAUAACGUCCCAAGACAUGAGAUGUAUUUUUUAAUUACAUAAUCAAAUGGAAUUUAUCAUCAUUAUCUCUCUCUACUUUGAAUUCUCAUGUUUUGACAACCUACGCCCUUUGACUGCCUGCUCCCCACGCACACACACACACACACACACACACACACACACACACACACACACACACACACACACACACACACAGUCAAACAAACACACAUCCAAGUAGGCCUGUGUGUAGGCGUGCAAACACACUCUGUGGCUCAAACAUUUCAACACACACACCUUCUCUUUGUAGGACCAACUUCUCAUUUUUCCUCGAGAAAAUAAGCACAUGACGCAAUAAACAAAAUGAAGCUACUCUUAAGUUAUUUGGCAUCUCUCCAACCCCACCUCUUUUGCAGUUAACAAAACUGUUUUACGAAGAAUUUGAUACUCUGAGGGGAAGAGAAAGGGAGGGGGAGAGAAAGAAGGGAGUGAACAGGAGGGAGCGAGCGAGCGAGAGAAAGGUGUUUUGGACAUGUACUAGUGCACGAGAUGUCAUUCACACAGUACAGGAGUUAAAGCAUGUGCCUUUAAGGUGGAUUCACAAUUUCAAUCCAAUCGUUUUCUCCAUGCAACAUGUGGGUGUGUACUAAGCAAGCAUUUUACAUCUACAGCGGUUCAGACAGUGGAUGCUGUGAGGAGGUCUCAUGCUUUUUUUAGUUCACCGUCGCUGCCAUCUCUCACGCUACCCUUGAAAUAGACAGCUGAUAUACAGAAAAGUAGAGUGAAGUGCGAGAGAGGAAGAGAAGGGCUGUGUCUUUCCGGUCUAUUUGCACCCAAGGACACCCUAGUGAACAACAAGCCCAGCAACCAGGAGAGACAGCAAGAGAACAAAAGUUUGACUAUGUAAGAGCACUUCAUAUGCCUAACACUCAGUCAAACCUUAGAUUAUUAACAAAGGCAAGGCCUGAAAGAAAGGGGAAUUCCGAGAGCAGUGAAGAUCAAAGCCUGAUGAUCGUAGUCAGACCAAGAACCCCGGGUACCUGAUGACAGAUACCGCUUUUCUUUUCUAGGGUGUACAUUUUUCUGCUCUAGACUUGUAAAACAAACCUCCAAUAUCUUUCAAGCCACAACACUGUCGCUGAUGCACCUCAGAAAGAGGAAGACAAACGUAAUCUGAGAGAUCAGCAAAACCCUUUAGGGACAGUUGACCUCUGUGACCCCUCUCACUUCUUGCCCAGUAUGGAGCGGAUACGGCUGAUGCUUGGGGCUCUGCUCCUCUCCCUCUCUCUGCCCAGUCUCCCUGCUCAAGAUAAUGUCACUGUCACUGUACCUGAGAAUGUCACCAUGGCAGCACCUAUUAAUGAGGAAGUCACGAUGGCAGCCUCUACAACGGAGGCCACCAUAGAGACAACGUCUGUUCCUGUGGUCAUCACUAGGGCACAGCCUGCCCCUGAAAUUAUCACCCCGGUAACUGCUACUCCGAAAGUAACAUCUGUUUCAGGACCUAACACCGAUGCCAUCACUAUGGUAAUAACAAACCCUGAGAUCAUCAACGUUCAGGAGUCCACAUCUGAUGCACCAACUACUACUUCAGAGGCUGAGACGAUGACACCUUCCCCAGUGACCACUGAAGGGCCAAUAGAUACGACCACUCCACCUGGCCCUAAACCCACCCUCUCCCAAGAUGUCCUUACAACCGCCUCUUAUCUCCCAACCACUUCCCAGGACCACCUGACUUCUGUUAUCCCAGUCUGGCCCAUCCACACCACCACUCGUCUGAGGGAGGACUCCACUUACACACCUGAACCUACACCUGCCUCAGAGAUUACUGUCUGCCACACAGAGGGACUUACCACUGCACCCACCUCCCCAUCGGUCAAUGCCGCCCCCGGCCAUGCCACGACCCCCACUACCACCCACACCUCCACAGAUCCAGACUCUACGGUGGCUGGGGUCAGAGUGGAGACAGGUCAGCCCAGCUUGUUAUGGGUCAUCAUCGUCGCUCUCCUGAUCGGGGUUAUAUUCACGGGCGUGGUCUACUGUGUAUGUCUGGUCAUCAGACGAAAGAGGCAGAGCCGCACCGAGCACUUUGUGUCCAGCUUCCGGAACGGGAAGAGUUCCAAGCGGAAGAAAGGGGCGGAGGAAGACGCCUGGGCAGGGCCAGUGAAGCUAGGGGGUGGGAACAGGGAGGAGGAUGAGGGUGGGGAGGAGGGAGGGAGCCCAGAGGACAACAAGAGAGAGGGGGCUGGAACGGAUGUGGUGCUGAGCACAUUCAUUGCCAACGAGACUGAGGGAGAGAGGGGUGGGCCUGAUGGGGGAGUAGGAGUGGCUGGGAGCAAGGAGGCAGAGAAAUGGGAGGAGAAGGAGCCUCUGCUGUACAUUGAUGAGGGAGUGGAGGAGGGACAAGAGAGGAUGGCUCCUCCUUCACUUUCAAAAUCGAACCCAGAAAAGACAGGAGGGGAAAGAGGAGAGGGGGAAAAUGAAAAAGAAAUGGAGAGGGGAGAAGGGAAUGGAAAUAAAUAAAAUUAGAGUGAAAGAGGUAAGAAGAAUGGAGGAGCGGCAUUCUGUCUAACCACUGCAGUUUAAAAAUAGAAGAGUUUUCCAUAAAAAGUUUUUCUAUGUGAUAAUGUAAAAGUUACAAAUGGAGAGGGGAGAAGGGAAUGGAAAUAAAUAAAAUUAGAGUGAAAGAGGUAAGAAGAAUGGAGGAGCGGCAUUCUGUCUAACCACUGCAGUUUAAAAAUAGAAGAGUUUUCCAUAAAAAGUUUUUCUAUGUGAUAAUGUAAAAGUUACAAAUAUCUUUGUACUACUGAAAAGGCCUUUGACAUUGUAUGUAUCUGUGAUUGUGUGCUCUGUCAACAUAACUCAGGGAAGAUAGAAGUGGUUGUGUGUAUGGUCAUAAGUUUUACCCUUGGUAUUUUGUAUGCUGUUUUGUCUAAAAAAUGUUUUGUUUAAUAAAGUUUUAGAUGUGCAUGUUCUAGAAUGAAGGUGUUGAACGUGACAGAAUAUUAAUACUCUUUGCUUAACAAUUUGCGGUCUUCAAAUGCACUUAAAUUUUGGAACUGCUUAAAUCAAUAGCACUCAAUUCAUAGGUGCAAAUCUGAACUUCCACUGAGACAAAUUUUCACUUAGUCUCCCAUUGACAUCAAUGCAUGACUAAGUGAUUAUUCAACUUCAGUGGAAGUUGUCAUUGUAAAUAAGAAUUUGUUGUUAACUGACUUGCCAGGUUAAAUAAAAUAAAAUAAAAUAUGUGUUGCCGAUUAUGGCCACUA
Molecule: RNA transcript, 5934 nt
Organism: Oncorhynchus nerka (sockeye salmon)
Lineage: Eukaryota; Metazoa; Chordata; Actinopteri; Salmoniformes; Salmonidae
Gene name: mucin-5AC-like
Exons: 4
Source: RefSeq, a predicted model, not a curated record